GAGAGACGCAGCUAUUUAAAGGUAAGAAGGACAAUACAAUAUUUCUCCUCACUCUGUCGAAUUCUGGUCGGAACUGGAUCACACACCUUCAGCAUCCUGGCCAUGACCCUCGGGCUGUUAAACUUACCAAGAGCAAGCGCUGAAAUCCCCUGGGAAUGCAUCACAGAGGGGACCCCCGGACGGCAUGCACUGCACACCACUUCCACUCCAAAACCUUCCCCAGGUCUUGAGAAAGGCCAGGCCUGGGUAGGAAGGAGUCUUCUCUCUCCAGAGGUCAAACUGAGAUACAAUCAUGGGGCCCUCUCUGCCUGCGUGUGCCCUCCUGAGAAAAACAAGUCUCCCCUGCCUACUGCCUGUUCUCCACAGUGAAUCUGUGGCUACACAAACACAUGUCUGUGCCUCCUUUGGUUCCUGCCCCGGAAUCCUGAGAACUUGGGCCUCGUAGACAUGACCUACCAGCUGAGCCUCUCUCCAUUCUGGAUGACUGGGGGAAUGGAAUGGGGGAGCACUUCCUCACGGCUGGGGCUGCCUCUGCUACAUGUGAACUUGACCUGUGCCCAUGACCCAGGCUCCAUCCAGCACAAGCACCGUCUGCCGCCAUCAUGCUCUCUGGGCACAGAACCUCUUUGAGCCCAGUCUUCUCACAGGAGAUGAAAGAUGAUGCUCUCCAGCUGGUCUCACAAAGGCCAAUGGGACCAGUUCCCUAGCAAGUAGUCCAGCCUAGUUCCUGGUAAUCCUCAUCCUUGAGUGUCCCUCCCAAGUCCUAGGACCCUGACCUCCGCUCCCAGCCUGCCCGGAGCCGUGGCUACCUGGACCUUUUCUGAACCUGGGCAAGAGGAUCUAGAAGCAAGAAGCACACCUAGUGCCCAGAUUUUGGUUUCUCACGGGUUCUCCAUCAGAAGGAAUGAGAGCUCUUGGAGAAAUGACUGAUGAUAGGACGGAGGGUGUCCAUGAGGCCAGAAACAGUUUGCUGCCAGUACAGAGCCAGACACAUUGACGUUGCUUUAAAAAAAAUACUGAAGAAACGUACAAAUAUAUCCUACAGAAUGAGGUUUAUACAGAAGUUAUCACAAAGAGGACAUUUUACAGGAACAUUUUUAAUAGUCAAUUGGGAGAUCAUUCCUCUUAUGGAUCACCUAUGGACACUCGUAUCUGCUGUGGUGAUGAAUCUGUUUGUCUCCCCAUAUCAUACUCUUAGAAAAAUACGUAUGAGAAUUUAGAAGUGCAAAAAAGAUGAAUUCUGCUCUAAGAAAUCCUAAUGUGUGGGAAAUCUGUGUUAAUAAAACAAAUUAGGAAGCAGUUGUUUUCUGAGCCUGGUUUCUCUUGCCUUGAUUUAUAGACUAUUAAUUA
Molecule: long non-coding RNA, 1350 nt
Organism: Suricata suricatta (meerkat)
Lineage: Eukaryota; Metazoa; Chordata; Mammalia; Carnivora; Herpestidae
Exons: 5
Source: RefSeq, a predicted model, not a curated record